This is an RNA transcript of Juglans microcarpa x Juglans regia, 1546 nucleotides long. RefSeq lists it as uncharacterized. The transcript is spliced from 5 exons. Lineage: Eukaryota; Viridiplantae; Streptophyta; Magnoliopsida; Fagales; Juglandaceae. The record is from RefSeq and is a predicted model, not a curated record.
UCCCCUCCCAAUCGGUUUCUUCUUCCUUCAGUUUCUCUCCUCCCCAUUCUCUCUCACGCACUCUGUUUCUCCCUCUCCUUUCACCCAGCAGUUUCUUUGUGCGAGAGGCCCCAUAGUUGGUUUCUAGGGCUUCAAUUGACGACGGUCACUCCUCCCCGUCGUGCAACACCACCGCUACGAUGAGCUUCAUCGCCGAUUUCCCUCUUCACACAGUUUAUUCUCAUUUUCCUCGCCCCUCUCUUGUGAUUUGUGAGUCUACCGUCCCCUGCUCUGUGGGUUGUGUCGCCUACAAGUUCCUCGCCGGAUUUUUGUUGAAACGACGCCACCGUGCCCCACCGUGUGUGACCAAGCCGUACGUCGUCGCCUCUGUUCGUGGGCUCCAUUGUCGUAGCCGUAGUCCCCGUCCCACAUCAGAGUUUUAGGCCGCAGUCAACAUGGACAUCGGAGUCUACAGGCACCUCUCACCGGCUCCAAGGCAUGCCCUAAUCGAUUAUAUUACAUUUUUGGGUGUUGAUUCCACCGUGCGAUUAUCCCCCCAAAUUUUUAAAUUUAAUUUCUAAUUGAAUUGUUGAAUACCAAUCACAAGGUAGUAAUCCUACACUAGGCAGCGUAGUUUAACCACGAAACCAAUCGAUCUCCACUCCAGGACUAGGAAAGGUACAUGCGAGUUUUAGCGGCGUAAUUGUCGCUUAUGUUAUUGUGUGACUUGGUUGUUGGUGCUUACUAGAAGGUUCUACGUCUAUAUUCGUGUAUUUGAAAUUGUAGAUGCUAUUGAACUUAUAACUUUUGUGGUUCAAGCUCGUGGAAUGUGUGGCUGUCCGGGGUUAAUAUGUGGCUGUUUGGGUCAAUAUGUGACUGGUUGGGUUGACACAUGGUUGUUUGGGUUGACAUGUGGCUGUUGGUUUUAUGAGUGUGGUUGUUCGGGCUGUUAUAUGUGGCUGGUUGGGUUGUUUUAAUUGCUGGAAAAUGUGGUUGCUUUUGCUUGAAGUGUGUGUGACGAAUUAAUUAUGGCUGUUUGGGUUAAUUGACUUGCCGAGAGUGAGUUGGUUGGCUUGAAAUUGCGGUGGUUUUGCUUAUGGGUGUGUGAUGAAUUAAUUAAUAAUUGUGGGCUUGCGUUAAUCUGUCAUUAGAAUCGGGUAGAUGCUAUUAGUUGGAUAGGUUUGGUGCUUAUGUAGGUUAUUAAUAUAUCAAUGCAUGUUCUCAAGUAUAGGUGUUGGGAUUGCCAGAGUUCAAACUCAAAGAUUUAGACAAUACAUUGGAAGAGAUAGAUCUGGACAGUGUUGGUAACAGCUAGAAAGAGACAUGAGGUUGCUGUAAUGGGUGGUUCUCCCAAAUUGGGACUAGCCAUGGUCAAUGAAGGCACUUCCAGCAGAUUGUACCUAAAUGAAUAGAGAAUUUAUUGAAAAAGAAAUUAGCUCAAAUAGAGAAUGCAGUUUCUUGAUUAGCUAAAAUUAAAGAAAAUAUUGUUUGGAGAUGCCUUGAGCAUUCACAUCUAAUCAAAAUUUUUCCUAAAUUUUAGCUAAAAUUCUGUCUAAAAUUUUACUCA